GCUGGGCAUGGUGGCUCAUGCCUGUAAUCCUAGCACUUUGGGAGGCUGAGGCAGGAGGAUCACUUGAGCACAGGAGUUCAAGACCACCCUGGGCAACAUAGUGAGACUCUGUCUCUA
Molecule: non-coding RNA, 117 nt
Filed under: Homo sapiens (human)
Lineage: Eukaryota; Metazoa; Chordata; Mammalia; Primates; Hominidae
Source: Rfam by way of RNAcentral